RNAcentral lists this ribosomal RNA (413 nucleotides) under uncultured bacterium. RNAcentral describes it as "bacterial SSU rRNA". It matches the Rfam family "Bacterial small subunit ribosomal RNA", at positions 28 to 436 of the family's 1533-position model. The record is from RNAcentral.
GACGAACGCUGGCGGCGCGCCUAACACAUGCAAGUCGAACGAGAGAGAAGGAGCUUGCUUCUUCGAUCGAGUGGCGAACGGGUGAGUAACGCGUGAGGAACCUGCCUCAAAGAGGGGGACAACAGUUGGAAACGACUGCUAAUACCGCAUAAGCCCACAGGUCGGCAUCGACCAGAGGGAAAAGGAGCAAUCCGCUUUGAGAUGGCCUCGCGUCCGAUUAGCUAGUUGGUGAGGUAAUGGCCCACCAAGGCAACGAUCGGUAGCCGGACUGAGAGGUUGAACGGCCACAUUGGGACUGAGACACGGCCCAGACUCCUACGGGAGGCAGCAGUGGGGAAUAUUGCACAAUGGGGGAAACCCUGAUGCAGCGACGCCGCGUGGAGGAAGAAGGUCUUCGGAUUGUAAACUCCUGU